Non-coding RNA from Drosophila melanogaster (fruit fly), 872 nucleotides. The record is from Ensembl. NCBI's taxonomy places the organism in Eukaryota, Metazoa, Arthropoda, Insecta, Diptera, Drosophilidae.
CUCAGUUCUGGGAUCGUACCGAAAAAAUCGAGCUGGCUUUUUGCGAGCGUGGGUGGGUAGUAUUCAUCUACCAUUCACCACCCACCAUUUCCCCGAUUGAGAGGAGAGAAAGGCACAUAAAAAUGCGAAUGAAGAAGCGAAUGAAGUGAGCUCUUGAAUGGCAACAUUGAAUACGCAUACGCUCGAGGAGUUUGCAUGUUAAUUAAAUAGAAAGCACCGACGGGCCCGAUGCAUUGCACUCGAAAGUCGAGUCAACUCGAGUCGAGGACUUUGGCUUCGUCCUGGCGAAACGAGGCCAUUCAUAUCAAUUUGUUUGGCCUACGCAUUGAAUUGCGGUUUGUGGAUAAGCCUUCGCAGAUGGGAAUUCCUAGUAGUACGCCGCCACUGCUACGGCCACUGCCUUCCUCAACCGGUCGGUUGUGAUCUCUUUGGCAGCGUCAAGUGCUACUCAAAAUUUACAGAAUUCAUUUAUGCAAAUGAAGUGCCUUUUAUGACGCCGAGAGAUGAGAUGAGAUGCGACCAAGGACGCUGGUGCUGAUGAUGAUGCGAAAUGCCGGGCAAAGCCAGGAUGAAGGAUAAUGGAUUGGAAUAGAGCCAGUUGCAAGGACGAGACAAGACAGUGCGAGUAAUGAACGAAAAUUGAGCAAAUUAUUCAGUUCCUUUGGCACAACAAUUAAACAAUUUACGUACAUUUCCAAGUGCUCCAGCAUUUUGCCAACUAAUUACGCGAACUGCUGGCUUAACUCGAACCAGGAUGGCACAGGAUGCGCUGUCUUUGUAGUUCGCUUUCCACCAAAUGAGCUCCUAUGUGCGUACAUCCUCCUGAUAGGUAAAUAAUUGGGAAAGUUUAGAAUAAACAAGGAUAUAAAUAU